UGUUUUGUUGUGUGAUACUUGGAUUUUCUCUUUAUCUAUCCUUACUAUUAUUACUACUUAGGCUAUUUGUGGAUAAAAGGAUUCUAUUAUAUAUAUAUAUAUAUAUAUGUAUAUAUAUUUUUCUUUUCGUGUGGUUUCCACGUAUGUUGUUGAGAAAACUAUUCAGCUAUACAAUUGUGUACUUAUAUAAUAGGACAUCGUUUGGGAUUUUAUAUUUGGAUAGUGAUAACUAAUAUAUAUGAAAAAUGCUUGUGAUAUUCAAAUUAAAUUUGAUGUUAUUAUCAUUUUGGUACAAAUAAAGUUGCAGUAAAUGUCAAUAUAGGAUUUGAAUUAUUUUUCAAACCUGCCUGCAUAUUUUUAUCUGGAGAUGGAAAUAAAAUAUUUUUUGAAAUAAAAAAAAAACAUAACAAGUAUGUUAAUACAAUUUUUUUGUCAACCCAAAAGAUUUCAGCAAGGAUUCAUGAAUAAACAUAUGAGAAAAUUAUAUAACACAACAUUUUAUAGAGACUCGUUAAAAAAAAAUGACUUAUGUUCACCUAGUCACUUUUAUUGAUAUUUAAGUUUGAAUAAUCAUAUAUUCUAGCAAAUUCGUAUUGCUAGUUGUUCUACAAUCCUCCUUCGCUUUAAUUACACAAGUAUUAUAUUUGAGUUGUGGGCGUAAGUUAUUAAAUUUGGCCCAAAAAUAAUAUAUUACACAAUUAUAAUUAAGUUGAUUUGGUUGUAUCUUGUGUAAAUAAUAAUUCUAUCUCCCGCUUCCAAUCUUGUUAGCGUUUGGUAGCAUAUCAUGUGCUAGCAGAAAUAAACUAACAAGGGUGUGUAAGGUAUCUCUGUUAGCGUGUUAUAACCUUCUCUAAGCGAACAAGAGUACAAAGACAUAAAUGAACGACCAAGAUUCUUCUAUUAGCAUUUAGAUGCCUAAUGUGUGAGAACAUGAUUAUUACAGGUCUUGAUCAUUUUUAUAUGAAGGAAACAUCGACCAAGUUUGAAAUCCCAAUCAUUAAUAUUCUUUGGAAUGUCAUUAUGUCAAAAAAAAUGGGUAAGUAAGUUUUCGUGCUUUGCAACUUCCCCAUUCAUUUUGGUUAUACACACAUGUGACCAUUACGCAAAUGGUAUUUCCUCUAGUAUUAAAACAACAACUUCUAAUUGUCUCAAAAGCAAUUUUACACUUUCCCACUCUUUUAGUGGACUUCAAGGGUUUUUCAUUGGAAUAUACCAAUCUUUUGGGCUGUCCUAAUUGGACCACACUUUUUAAGCUGGCUUUUGGUUGCAUUGCCUAACAAUUGGGUAAUUGGGCCAAUUUCUUUACAAAUUUUGAAGCCCAUUGUCAGGGGUCUCUUUGCUCACUAGGGAGAGGGAUAGGUGCAAGAUAGAGUAACCUGCAGUCAAUAUUGUUGUUCUGGAGAAAACUUGACGUUUCCUGAGGAAGAAAGAACACUGUCGAGGAAGAAGUGAUGCGCUAACCCCACCUACUUGCUCGCUAUUCUCUGUAAUCAUUCAGGCAUGAUUGAAUAAGGGCUCUUCAAGAAACUUAAAAAGAGUCAUGGUAAGGGUAAGGAGAAAGCCAACCAACCACGUGUGUAGCAGGCAUGAAGCGGCGUGUACAUGUUUGGCCAGCCUGGCUGCCACAGUCGGUGGAUUUUGGGAGAUGUUUGUAAACAACCCUAGAUUUUGUCGUUUAGUCGACUUGAUUCAGUUUGUAUGUUGUAAAUAUUUCUAAACUGUAUUUUGGGAUCCCAAGUAUUAAACUUUUAAGAUUUUCAAUGAAAUGAGUUUAUUUCUAAAGUUUA
This is a long non-coding RNA of Humulus lupulus (European hop), 1787 nucleotides long. RefSeq lists it as uncharacterized. Lineage: Eukaryota; Viridiplantae; Streptophyta; Magnoliopsida; Rosales; Cannabaceae. The transcript has 2 exons. The record is from RefSeq and is a predicted model, not a curated record.